Drosophila santomea is the source of this 487-nucleotide long non-coding RNA. RefSeq lists it as uncharacterized. The transcript has 3 exons. Lineage: Eukaryota; Metazoa; Arthropoda; Insecta; Diptera; Drosophilidae. The record is from RefSeq and is a predicted model, not a curated record.
GUGCGUUAAGAGUUCUGCCGACUGAUAGCCGUGGGAAAGGGGAUUAUAGCAGUGACAUCUGGAUCGGAGAUUUCAAGUUGGGGUAAUCUAAAAUGUACGCAAGAAAAUUUUAGUCUGAUUCUUGGGAGUGGCAUAGAAAGGACUGAUAAACAAUUCAAUUAGCGGGAUUGCAGAUGUGAAAAGCAUGAAAAAUCGCAUUCGGACUCACGAUGAAUGUUCCCAGGCUAAGCAGGCACUCGACUCUAAUGGGACGUUUGACAAAGUGGAUGCGAUUGACCUAUGUCCAAGCUCAUUUAUUGAUUCCGCACAUUUGCAUAGAAUAGGGAUGGGCCUAUCUAGUAUUCUGGUACUGCCCUCCCUUUGAUCUGAUUGCGACGCGUGUCCUGUUCGGCGAUGCAAAUUGGUCACACCCUUCAGAUGUCAAAAGAAAUAUCGACGGAUAGACGGCAAAUCGAUUUGCAUGGCAGGGCACUAAUAAUGCCUUUUG